Molecule: ribosomal RNA, 1443 nt
Filed under: uncultured organism
Description: SSU rRNA
Rfam family: Bacterial small subunit ribosomal RNA
Source: RNAcentral
GCUAUCUACAGGCUUAACACAUGCAAGUCGAGGGGCAUCAGGAAGAAAGCUUGCUUUCUUUGCCGGCGACCGGCGCACGGGUGAGUAACACGUAUCCAACCUGCCCUUUACUCGGGGAUAGCCUUUCGAAAGAAAGAUUAAUACCCGAUAGUAUAAUGAUUCCGCAUGGUUUCAUUAUUAAAGGAUUCCGGUAAAGGAUGGGGAUGCGUUCCAUUAGGUUGUUGGUGAGGUAACGGCCCACCAAGCCUUCGAUGGAUAGGGGUUCUGAGAGGAAGGUCCCCCACAUUGGAACUGAGACACGGUCCAAACUCCUACGGGAGGCAGCAGUGAGGAAUAUUGGUCAAUGGGCGCUAGCCUGAACCAGCCAAGUAGCGUGAAGGAUGAAGGCUCUAUGGGUCGUAAACUUCUUUUAUAUAAGAAUAAAGUGCAGUAUGUAUACUGUUUUGUAUGUAUUAUAUGAAUAAGGAUCGGCUAACUCCGUGCCAGCAGCCGCGGUAAUACGGAGGAUCCGAGCGUUAUCCGGAUUUAUUGGGUUUAAAGGGAGCGUAGGUGGACUGGUAAGUCAGUUGUGAAAGUUUGCGGCUCAACCGUAAAAUUGCAGUUGAUACUGUCAGUCUUGAGUACAGUAGAGGUGGGCGGAAUUCGUGGUGUAGCGGUGAAAUGCUUAGAUAUCACGAAGAACUCCGAUUGCGAAGGCAGCUCACUGGACUGCAACUGACACUGAUGCUCGAAAGUGUGGGUAUCAAACAGGAUUAGAUACCCUGGUAGUCCACACAGUAAACGAUGAAUACUCGCUGUUUGCGAUAUACAGUAAGCGGCCAAGCGAAAGCAUUAAGUAUUCCACCUGGGGAGUACGCCGGCAACGGUGAAACUCAAAGGAAUUGACGGGGGCCCGCACAAGCGGAGGAACAUGUGGUUUAAUUCGAUGAUACGCGAGGAACCUUACCCGGGCUUAAAUUGCAGUGGAAUGAUGUGGAAACAUGUCAGUGAGCAAUCACCGCUGUGAAGGUGCUGCAUGGUUGUCGUCAGCUCGUGCCGUGAGGUGUCGGCUUAAGUGCCAUAACGAGCGCAACCCUUAUCUUCAGUUACUAACAGGUCAUGCUGAGGACUCUGGAGAGACUGCCGUCGUAAGAUGUGAGGAAGGUGGGGAUGACGUCAAAUCAGCACGGCCCUUACGUCCGGGGCUACACACGUGUUACAAUGGGGGGUACAGAAGGCAGCUAGCGGGUGACCGUAUGCUAAUCCCAAAAGCCUCUCUCAGUUCGGAUCGAAGUCUGCAACCCGACUUCGUGAAGCUGGAUUCGCUAGUAAUCGCGCAUCAGCCACGGCGCGGUGAAUACGUUCCCGGGCCUUGUACACACCGCCCGUCAAGCCAUGGGAGCCGGGGGUACCUGAAGUACGUAACCGCAAGGAUCGUCCUAGGGUAAAACUGGUGACUGGGGC